CGCAAUGGGCGAAAGCCUGACGGAGCGACGCCGCGUGAUUGAUGAAGUCCUUCGGGACGUAAAGGUCUUUUAUGAGCCAGAAAGUUAUUGAUCAGCUCAUGAAUAAGGGGUUGCUAAACUCGUGCCAGCAGCAGCGGUAAUACGAGUGCCCCGAGCGUUAUCCGGAAUUAUUGGGCGUAAAGCGUGUGUAGGUGGUCAUGUUAGUCUCCUGCGAAAUUCUUCGGCUUAACCGGGGCAUGAUGGGAGAAACGGCAUGACUUGAGGGUGCGAGGGGUGUGUGGAACUCUACGUAUAGGGGUGAAAUCCGUUGAUAUGUAGGGGAACACCAAAAGCGAAGGCAGCACACUGGCGCAUUCCUGACACUGAGACACUAAAGCGU
RNAcentral lists this ribosomal RNA (379 nucleotides) under uncultured organism. RNAcentral's name for it is "bacterial SSU rRNA". It matches the Rfam family "Bacterial small subunit ribosomal RNA", at positions 367 to 762 of the family's 1533-position model. The record is from RNAcentral.